Molecule: ribosomal RNA, 253 nt
Filed under: uncultured bacterium
Lineage: Bacteria
Description: partial 16S ribosomal RNA
Rfam family: Bacterial small subunit ribosomal RNA
Source: RNAcentral
UACAGAGGGGGCAAGCGUUAUUCGGAAUUAUUGGGCGUAAAGGGCGCGUAGGCGGCCUGGCAAGUGGAAGGUGAAAUCCCUCGGCUUAACCGAGGAACUGCCUUCCAAACUGCUUGGCUUGAGUCCGGGAGAGGUGAGUGGAAUUCCCAGUGUAGCGGUGAAAUGCGUAGAUAUCGGGAGGAACACCUGUGGCGAAAGCGGCGCACUGGACCACAACUGACGCUGAGGCGCGAAAGCUAGGGGAGCAAACAGG